GACGAACGCUGGCGGCGUGCUUAACACAUGCAAGUCGAGCGGUAAGGCCCUUCGGGGUACACGAGCGGCGAACGGGUGAGUAACACGUGGGUGACCUGCCCUCCACUCUGGGAUAAGCCCGGGAAACUGGGUCUAAUACCGGAUAUGACCUCUGGAUGCAUGUCUGGUGGUGGAAAGCCUGGGUUGUAUGACUCUGGCGGUGGGGGAUGGGCCCGCGGUCUAUCAGCUUGGUUGGUGGGGGAUGGCCUACCAAGGCGACGACGGAUAGCCGGCCUGAGAGGGUGAUCGGCCACACUGGGACUGAGACACGGCCCAGACUCCUACGGGAGGCAGCAGUGGGGAAUCUUGCGCAAUGGGCGGAAGCCUGACGC
This 371-nucleotide ribosomal RNA is filed under the name uncultured bacterium. RNAcentral's name for it is "bacterial SSU rRNA". It matches the Rfam family "Bacterial small subunit ribosomal RNA", at positions 28 to 389 of the family's 1533-position model. The record is from RNAcentral.